CAGUUUCCCCUCAUAGAGUGAAGGAUAGGACCCAAGGAUCCCCUGGGCCUUCAAGCUCUACAUAUAGAAUUUCUGGAGACUGUGAAUGAAGGUGGGACCUGGAGGUCACUAAGGGACUCGAGAAGUCUGUGUCCCCAUCCACAGGGACGCCAAAGACACGCCAUCUCUCUGCCCUCCUCUUUAUGCAUCUUGUGCUUUACCUCCAGCCACAAGACGUCUCUAGUUGUUAAAAAUAAAAACAAGCCAGAGCUGCCAGAUCCAGCUACGACAACUCUUCUGAUGCGAGGGAGGAGGGGGGCUAUUUUUGUUGCAGUCACUAAGCUUGAGUCUAAUCCAGGAAAGUCAAAUAGAGACAUGACUUGGCCCAUCCAAGCUGGUCUGACCCCAGAGAUGUAGGCCAAUCCUUGUUGUGGUGGCAUUGGAUGGUUUCAUGCCAACAUCACAGAGCGAGAGCCAGAACACAGCUUACACGUGCUCAGAAGAUGGGCCAGAUUUAGUGGAGAACAUGAGGUGCACAGCCUGCACAGAGCUGCAGGGCAACCCAGGAAGAAGAGGACUGCUACCACGAUGGGGAGGCAGCCACACCCGUGCCCUGCCGCCGUUGCCCUCCUGAGCCCGGGGACUGGGGACUUUUGGGAAAGGCUCCACAGAGGAGGCAGGAUUUGAAGGUGGGGUGAGGAGCAGACAGUGUCAAGGAGCGCCAAGGCAUGCUUUUGAUCAAGUCACUCUCCUGCUGAGAGCCCUCCUUGGCUCCCUGCUGUCAAGUGGAUAAAGUCCAGACUCCACGGGCUGGCGUGCAAAGGCCUUCUCACGCUGACCCCAGAGUGACCCCUCCACUCUGGCAUCCCUGGGCGGCCUGCCCUGUCCCACCCGCCCUCACACUCCUAGGUGUCAGCCUCCUGGACUGCUCACCGCUCUGCAAAUCUGCCACAUUCUCUCGCUUCCCAGUGGCUUUGCACAUGCCAUUCCCAGUGCCUGAGACACCCUUCUUGCCCCUCAUCGGCUCUCCUUUAUCUCAUCUCCAUGGAAAAUGCCUUCUUGAUCUUUCAGGCCCACCUCCAAGUUCCCUUUCUCACGCGCCUGCCCCAAGCCCUCAGCUGGGAUCCAACAAUUUGUCCUCCAGUUCUGCAGAGCAGCGCUUUAGAUUCUAAACAAACAAGUAAACCAAGCUGUGCUCUACCGGAGACAAAAAUCAUCCCUGUCUGCUAGGAACGUGUUGCCACCUGUGUCACAAUUGCUCUCUCACCUGAUUCUCAUGGUCUGUAGAGGAGAAAGGGACAAGUAACAUUGGCCACAGUCGACGAGCAGGCACCUGAGGCUCAGAAACCUCAGGGUACUUGCCCACAGCCACUCAGUCACUCACCAGCCACGGGCCAUGCCAUGUCGGCUGUAGAUUAUACACUUGUGGGGUAGACUCAGGUCUGACUCUGUGUGUUGCCCACCUUUCUACCACCCCUCCUUCUCUCCUCAGGUGAUCCACUCGCUCCUGGAGGGUGGGGGCCUCCCCCAGGUCACACAGUGUCCCCCAGAGCACCCAGGUGACACCCAUGCUGUUAGUCCACGGCCCACACUUGGAGUAGCAUAGGUUUAAGAUUCUUCAGCAACAGCAUCAACAAAAAAGAUAAAAGCAGGAUGGAACUUGAUAACAACGGAAGCUGGGGAGCAAGUCCCUAGCAGGGUGGAAGCACAGGGAGCCGUCCUUCCUCAGCUGUGCCCUGUGUCCCUGAUGCCCCUGGGCACACCUCCUUACUCAAGGGAAACUCUGCUCUCAAGAAAGAAGCGCACCCGUGGUGAUGGGAACCUGCCGCAUCACGACAGCGUCAAUGACCGUGACCCCGCUGUGAGAUUGUGCGGGGUUUACAAGACGUUACCACUGAGGGAAAUUGUGUAAAGGGCCACGGCAUGGACAUCUGUAUGAUUUCUUAAAACUACAUGUACAUUUAUAAUUACUUCAAAAUAAAAGGUUUAAUUAAAGAUAAUGUGUAAAAGAAAGAAG
RNAcentral lists this long non-coding RNA (1996 nucleotides) under Equus caballus (horse). Its description in RNAcentral is "lncRNA (ENSECAG00000054668.1)". Lineage: Eukaryota; Metazoa; Chordata; Mammalia; Perissodactyla; Equidae. The record is from RNAcentral.